Molecule: ribosomal RNA, 919 nt
Filed under: uncultured bacterium
Lineage: Bacteria
Description: bacterial SSU rRNA
Rfam family: Bacterial small subunit ribosomal RNA
Source: RNAcentral
ACGCUGGCGGCGUGCUUAACACAUGCAAGUCGAACGAAGAGCGAUGGAAGCUUGCUUCUAUCAAUCUUAGUGGCGAACGGGUGAGUAACGCGUAAUCAACCUGCCCUUCAGAGGGGGACAACAGUUGGAAACGACUGCUAAUACCGCAUACGAUCUGACCUCGGCAUCGAGGAUAGAUGAAAGGUGGCCUCUAUUUAUAAGCUAUCACUGAAAGAGGGGAUUGCGUCUGAUUAGCUAGUUGGAGGGGUAACGGCCCACCAAGGCGAUGAUCAGUAGCCGGUCUGAGAGGAUGAACGGCCACAUUGGGACUGAGACACGGCCCAGACUCCUACGGGAGGCAGCAGUGGGGAAUCUUCCGCAAUGGACGAAAGUCUGACGGAGCAACGCCGCGUGAGUGAUGACGGCCUUCGGGUUGUAAAGCUCUGUUAAUCGGGACGAAAGGCCUUCUUGCGAAUAGUUGGAAGGAUUGACGGUACCGGAAUAGAAAGCCACGGCUAACUACGUGCCAGCAGCCGCGGUAAUACGUAGGUGGCAAGCGUUGUCCGGAAUUAUUGGGCGUAAAGCGCGCGCAGGCGGAUUGGUCAGUCUGUCUUAAAAGUUCGGGGCUUAACCCCGUGAUGGGAUGGAAACUGCCAAUCUAGAGUAUCGGAGAGGAAAGUGGAAUUCCUAGUGUAGCGGUGAAAUGCGUAGAUAUUAGGAAGAACACCAGUGGCGAAGGCGACUUUCUGGACGAAAACUGUCGCUGAGGCGCGAAAGCCAGGGGAGCGAACGGGAUUAAAUACCCCGGUAGUCCUGGCCGUAAACGAUGGGUACUAGGUGUAGGAGGUAUCGACCCCUUCUGUGCCGGAGUUAACGCAAUAAGUACCCCGCCUGGGGAGUACGACCGCAAGGUUGAAACUCAAAGGAAUUGACGGGGGCC